Molecule: small nuclear RNA, 141 nt
Organism: Myripristis murdjan (pinecone soldierfish)
Lineage: Eukaryota; Metazoa; Chordata; Actinopteri; Holocentriformes; Holocentridae
Gene: U4
Rfam family: U4 spliceosomal RNA
About the family: U4 small nuclear RNA (U4 snRNA) is a component of the major U2-dependent spliceosome. The structure of U4 snRNA from yeast and human has been reported. U4 snRNA presents a k-turn RNA motif in the 5p-SL related to recognition of Snu13 protein.
Source: Ensembl
GUUCUUGCGCAGAGGCAAUAUCAUAGUCUAUGAAGGUCUACUGAGACGUGAUUAUUGCUGGUUGAAAACUUUACCCAAUACCCCGCCAGGAUGGCUUGAGAUAUAGCCAGCCUUGGCAAUUUUUGAUAGUCUCCAAGGAGG